CCGUUCUCCAGUAAUCCUCUGUGACAUGAAGCAUACUUGUCUUAGCCCAGAAGGCUAGGACGACUUCAGAGCUUGUAGAGCCGGCGUGUCCCCGGAGUUGGCGUGCAUAUUCGGAAGUAGGACCCACAUUGCCAGAGCCUGUGGAGAGGUAAGUCUGGCGGAAGUAGCUCCCAGUAUCACCAAGCACCCUCUCUGCGCGGUCUCCCUAAAUACCGUCAGAGCUGUGUCAGAGGGGAGCGGGGUCCAGCUGCCGAACCCAGAAGUGUUACCGCAUGACAGGUGAUAUCGGUAGGUAAACCUUAACAAAUGAG
Pelobates cultripes (western spadefoot toad) is the source of this 311-nucleotide non-coding RNA. Lineage: Eukaryota; Metazoa; Chordata; Amphibia; Anura; Pelobatidae. The record is from the annotation of a GenBank genome assembly.